RNAcentral lists this ribosomal RNA (254 nucleotides) under uncultured prokaryote. RNAcentral describes it as "partial 16S ribosomal RNA". It matches the Rfam family "Bacterial small subunit ribosomal RNA", at positions 524 to 777 of the family's 1533-position model. The record is from RNAcentral.
UACGGAGGAUGCAAGCGUUAUUCGGAUUCAUUGGGUUUAAAGGGUGCGUAGGCGGGCUAUUAAGUCAGUGGUGAAAUCCUGCAGCUUAACUGCAGAACUGCCGUUGAUACUGAUAGUCUUGAGUUUGGUUAAGGUAGGCGGAAUGUGUAAUGUAGCGGUGAAAUGCUUAGAUAUUACACAGAACACCAAUUGCGUAGGCAGCUUACUGAGCCGACACUGACGCUGAGGCACGAAAGCGUGGGGAGCAAACAGGA